UAGCGUAACAGUCUUUUGGCUAACAGCUAGACGUAAGUUGGUCUGAAGAACAGAAAACAGAUGGCGGAUAAAGAUAGCGAAACAGGAGAUAUCAAAGAAAACUGUUUGCCGAAGAGAGGAGCUAUUAUCUGUAGUUAGGAAGGUUUAUUUUUUGUUUUUAAAAGAUGUGGCGCACGGCAUAUGGCGGGAAUAGCAAACGGUGGAACGACAUUACGGAUACGGUCUCACUACAGUCUAUAAAGACAGCUUCAGAGCCACGAUUAAAACGCUGAAUUCAAGAUCUACACAGCCCCUUCGUGGAUCCUCUUGGGCCUGCUGUUGUUGAGAAUGCCCUUAAAUGGAUGAUCUUUGGACCCCAUUGCAACWAAACUUCGAUUGCAAAGAUUGUACCCAGAAAUGUUAACAACAGUAGCGCUYCGAGUGCAGUUCGUCAGAAGGUAUCCCAAUGCGCAUAUCUCCUUUAAGGCCUCAUUGGUGAACAAAACAACAUGAGGUUCGGUCAACAACCUGCGGCUCCAGAGCCACAAGUGCCUCUUUGACGCUUCCAGUGUGACUCCCAAUAACUACGGCUAAAAUGAUAAAAGAAUGAAGGUUUUAAAAUAAACAUUAAAGGCAGGUUUUUGCA
Long non-coding RNA from Poecilia reticulata (guppy), 625 nucleotides. RefSeq lists it as uncharacterized. The record is from RefSeq and is a predicted model, not a curated record. NCBI's taxonomy places the organism in Eukaryota, Metazoa, Chordata, Actinopteri, Cyprinodontiformes, Poeciliidae.